This 395-nucleotide unclassified non-coding RNA is filed under the name soil metagenome. RNAcentral's name for it is "partial contains 5.8S ribosomal RNA, internal transcribed spacer 2, and large subunit ribosomal RNA". The stretch from base 1 to 122 matches the Rfam family "5.8S ribosomal RNA", at positions 35 to 154 of the family's 154-position model. The record is from RNAcentral.
GAUGAAGAACGUAGCGAAAUGCGAUACUUGGUGUGAAUUGCAGAAUCCCGUGAACCAUCGAGUCUUUGAACGCAAGUUGCGCCCGAAGCCAUCAGGUUGAGGGCACGUCUGCCUGGGCGUCACAUAUCGUUGCCCAAUGCCUAUUGCAGUGCAAUAGGAAUUUCUAGGGCGAAUGAUGGCUUCCCGUGAGCGUUGUUGCCUCGCGGUUGGUUGAAAAUCGAGUCCUUGGUAGGGUGUGCCAUGGUAGAUGGUGGUCGAGUUAGAACGAUACCGAUCAUGUGCAUGCUCCCCAAAAUAUGGCCUCUAUGACCCACCAGCGUCUUUUGACGCUCAUGACGAGACCUCAGGUCAGGCGGGGCUACCCGCUGAAUUUAAGCAUAUCAAUAAGCGGAGGA